Molecule: long non-coding RNA, 455 nt
Organism: Dendrobium catenatum
Lineage: Eukaryota; Viridiplantae; Streptophyta; Magnoliopsida; Asparagales; Orchidaceae
Exons: 2
Source: RefSeq, a predicted model, not a curated record
UCUCUCUCUCCUCUCCUCUCUCUCUCUCUCUUCUCUCUCUCUCUCUCACAAGGAGAAACUUGCUCGGCUUCGGAUUGUGCACUAUAAGCAGGUGAAGCUGCCAGCUUGAUCUGAUAUUCUGAUACAGUUUCCUCUCUUUAGAAGAAAUUAAUGGAGGAAAAAUAUAUAGAUCAGAUCAUGUUGUGCAGUUUCAUUUGCUGAUGGUAGCACAAAAAUGCUCAGUUCUAUAUAUUCUAUAGAAGUUCAUCAAUAACUAUGGGCUUUUAAUUUUAUCUUUUUUAUUGCUUUUAAUCAUUCUUCGAUUGUUAUAUUGGUUUGCAGAAAGGAAGAGAUAAAGAAGUCUUUCGUAUUUCUGAGAUCUAAAAUUCUAUCAGAUCUGCGUUAGACUGUAUGUUGAGUGAGCACAUGGAUGCAUGUGUCAAAUUUAUAUUUAAAGGACAAACUAAAUUGUUUUA